UACGUAGGGUGCAAGCGUUAAUCGGAAUUACUGGGCGUAAAGGGUGCGCAGGCGGUUUAUCAAGAAAGGUGUGAAAUCCCCGGGCUCAACCUGGGAAUGGCACUUUUAACUGAUAGGCUAGAGUAUGUCAGAGGGGGGUAGAAUUCCACGUGUAGCAGUGAAAUGCGUAGAGAUGUGGAGGAAUACCGAUGGCGAAGGCAGCCCCCUGGGAUAAUACUGACGCUCAUGCACGAAAGCGUGGGGAGCAAAC
RNAcentral lists this ribosomal RNA (250 nucleotides) under uncultured bacterium. RNAcentral describes it as "partial 16S ribosomal RNA". It matches the Rfam family "Bacterial small subunit ribosomal RNA", at positions 524 to 773 of the family's 1533-position model. The record is from RNAcentral.